AUUGAACGCUGGCGGAAUGCUUUACACAUGCAAGUCGAACGGCAGCACGGACUUCGGUCUGGUGGCGAGUGGCGAACGGGUGAGUAAUGUAUCGGAACGUGCCCAGUCGUGGGGGAUAACGUAGUGAAAAUUACGCUAAUACCGCAUACGAUCUAUGGAUGAAAGCGGGGGAUCGCAAGACCUCGCGCGAUUGGAGCGGCCGAUAUCAGAUUAGGUAGUUGGUGGGGUAAAGGCCCACCAAGCCAACGAUCUGUAGCUGGUCUGAGAGGACGACCAGCCACACCGGAACUGAGACACGGUCCAGACUCCUACGGGAGGCAGCAGUGGGGAAUUUUGGACAAUGGGCGAAAGCCUGAUCCAGCCAUUCCGCGUGCAGGAUGAAGGCCCUCGGGUUGUAAACUGCUUUUGUACAGAACGAAAAGGUUUCUACUAAUACUAGGAGCUCAUGACGGUACAGUAAGAAUAAGCACCGGCUAACUACGUGCCAGCCGCCGCGGUAA
This 500-nucleotide ribosomal RNA is filed under the name uncultured bacterium. Its description in RNAcentral is "partial 16S ribosomal RNA". It matches the Rfam family "Bacterial small subunit ribosomal RNA", at positions 30 to 523 of the family's 1533-position model. The record is from RNAcentral.